UAUGUGAAGUUGACUAGUAUUCUUUUAUGACAUGCCGUUUACUAUGCGUCUUUCUCCGCAACUUACAUUUCUUCGAUCACUGAAUCUGGACGUUACAGAACCACCUUUCAAACUCCACUUUAAAUCCCAAAACUAAACCCCAAAUUCAGUUUCAACCCAAACAAACUUUUCAAUCUUCUUCUUCUUCUUCGUUCUUCAAUUUCUCGUCAACUCACACUCCUUCACAUCAACGCGUUCCUCUAAACACUCUGCAUCGUUUAGUUCUUUCGCGUGUUACAGACCAGUGAGAAAUCCAGUUUGUAUAUUGGAAUCUAUAGUUCAAUAUGUCAUCUGCAAGCAAGGGUGAUAGGAAGGCUUCCCUUGAUGCAGCAUCAUGGUUGUUUAACGUAGUUACAUCUGUGGCAAUAAUCCUUGUGAAUAAAGCCCUGAUGGCCACAUAUGGUUUUAGUUUUGCCACAACUUUAACUGGAAUGCAUUUUGCCACAACAACUUUGUUGACGGUCAUUCUUAAAUCACUGGGAUAUAUCCAGACUUCUCAUCUUCCAAAAUCUGAUAUCAUCAAAUUUGUGUUGUUUGCAAAUUGCUCCAUUGUUGGCAUGAAUGUGAGUUUAAUGUGGAACUCUGUUGGUUUUUAUCAGAUUGCUAAGCUGACUAUGAUUCCAGUAUCUUGCCUCCUGGAAGUUGUCUUGGACAAUGUGCGAUAUUCAAGGGACACAAAGCUUAGUAUUAUCUUGGUUUUGGCUGGUGUUGCGGUCUGUACAGUCACCGAUGUCAGUGUCAAUGCAAAGGGUUUCAUAGCUGCUGUGAUAGCAGUUUGUAGCACAGCUCUGCAGCAGUAUUAUGUACAUUAUCUUCAGAGGAAAUAUUCUAUUGGAUCAUUUAACUUGUUGGGCCACACUGCACCAGCACAGGCAGCAAGUUUACUUCUAGUAGGCCCCUUUAUGGAUUAUUGGUUGACAAACAAACGGGUUGAUGCAUAUGACUAUGGUUUGACAUCCGUUUUGUUCAUCAUUCUGUCUUGCACCAUUGCAGUAGGGACAAAUCUCAGCCAGUUCAUCUGCAUUGGUAGGUUUACGGCUGUAUCAUUCCAAGUCCUUGGCCAUAUGAAGACUAUUCUAGUCCUAUUCAUGGGAUUCAUUUUCUUUGGAAAAGAGGGCCUCAAUCUACAUGUUGUUCUAGGCAUGACAAUUGCAAUAGCAGGAAUGGUUUGGUACGGUAAUGCUUCUUCUAAGCCAGGGGGAAAAGAGCGUCGUAGCUUUUCCAUUCCUACCACUAAGACACAAGAUUAUGCUGCACUACCGGUGUCCUCUGAAUCAGUUGAGAAGGCUACCCCAUGACAACAAAGAUAGUCCAGUCUUACAGGGGAUAAGCAAAUAGGAUGUGGGCUAUACUGCUCAAGCCAUUGGCAAUGAAUGUGGACCUAGUUUCAUCCUAUCGGAUUUCUUUAGGAUUUUGUAGGAUUCACUUGCCAUGGUCGAUGGUCCCAACAACAGCUAGAUCUGCAAACGUAACACUUUACUUUUAAGACAAUGGGCAAGCAGGACCUGUAUUAAAAGCCUGAGACAUGGGGAAUGAUGCAUUCAUGCACAACAGUAAAAAUUAAGUAAAAAUUUGACAUUUAAGGCCUCACGUAAGGGUACCAACAUAACACUUCUGUUGCACCUUCAACCCAGCACCUGGUUCUGUCCCUACUCCAAAAUUUUAGUACAUUGUUUUUCUCUUCAAGGUUAAAAUAUCUACUAUACAAUUUACCACUACUGCUACUCCACAUUUAUACAAUAUGUAUAUCACAUGGCUUGCUGGUUUUUUUGUCCAUGAGUUGGAGUCAAGUCACUACCUUCAAUUUACAAUAUUUUUACACACAUUGUGUAUCAACUACUUGUAAUUCACUCUUGUGGUAAUGACUUGUUGGUUUUGAUUGA
RNA transcript from Trifolium pratense (red clover), 1922 nucleotides. It is a transcript of the gene named UDP-rhamnose/UDP-galactose transporter 6-like, with no coding region annotated. The record is from RefSeq and is a predicted model, not a curated record. Lineage: Eukaryota; Viridiplantae; Streptophyta; Magnoliopsida; Fabales; Fabaceae. The transcript has 8 exons.